This 63-nucleotide transfer RNA is filed under the name Apanteles gelechiidivoris. RNAcentral's name for it is "tRNA-Val". The record is from RNAcentral. Lineage: Eukaryota; Metazoa; Arthropoda; Insecta; Hymenoptera; Braconidae.
UAAAUUUUAGUUUAAAAAAAAUUUAAUAAUUACAAUAUUAAGAUAUAACCAAUAUAAAUUUAA